ACGCUCGACACCUACGUGAGGCAGCAGUGGGGAAUAUUGCACAAUGGGGGAAACCCUGAUGCAGCGACGCCGCGUGGAGGAAGAAGGUCUUCGGAUUGUAAACUCCUGUUGUUGGGGAAAAAGAGGAUGGUACCCAACAAGGAAGUGACGGCUAACUACGUGCAGNCGCGGAGUAUGNGCGGCGNGCGAGNG
RNAcentral lists this ribosomal RNA (192 nucleotides) under uncultured bacterium. RNAcentral's name for it is "partial 16S ribosomal RNA". It matches the Rfam family "Bacterial small subunit ribosomal RNA", at positions 328 to 540 of the family's 1533-position model. The record is from RNAcentral.